This 71-nucleotide transfer RNA is filed under the name Loxodonta africana (African savanna elephant). It matches the Rfam family "tRNA". Rfam says of the family: Transfer RNA (tRNA) molecules are approximately 80 nucleotides in length. Their secondary structure includes four short double-helical elements and three loops (D, anti-codon, and T loops). The record is from Rfam by way of RNAcentral. Lineage: Eukaryota; Metazoa; Chordata; Mammalia; Proboscidea; Elephantidae.
GCUGUGGUGGUUCAAUGAUAGAAUUCUCACCUUCCAUGCAGGAGACCUGGGUUCGAUUCCCAGCCAAUGCA